Helianthus annuus (common sunflower) is the source of this 1165-nucleotide long non-coding RNA. RefSeq lists it as uncharacterized. The record is from RefSeq and is a predicted model, not a curated record. The transcript is spliced from 4 exons. NCBI's taxonomy places the organism in Eukaryota, Viridiplantae, Streptophyta, Magnoliopsida, Asterales, Asteraceae.
CUGUUGAUGCUAGAGAGGCAGCAGAAGAAUGAGUAGUUGCGAGAUAGAGAGAGGAAGGGAGUCUCCAUCAAGGCUCCGGUAACGUAUUCGGGUCGUGCAGCGCAUCAAUAGACGGUACAGAGGACGAUGAUCCUCGUGGUGAUGUUCGUUUCCCUGAUUGUUAAAGCGGUGUUGGUUCAACCGACAUCACACCGUCGACUAGGGUUCAUAACUUGAGUGGAAAAUAACGCUGCUAUCGGUGGUGUUUGUUCAACCGAUUAUGGUUCGAGUGACACCACACAUCGUCGGCUAGGGUUCAUACAUGGGUUGGCGACUGAGGUCCAAGUGAUGGUUGCUCCGACGAAGGGUGAGCCUAUUUGAGGCAAUCCUCGAUUGUUAAGGGACUGUGACGGUGGUUCUCGGUGACUGGACGACUUGAACCAUCAGAGGCUUAGGAACCGUUUAUGUCAGUUUCUUCCGGCCUGUGUUGGAUACAGUAAUAAAUAAUUGUGUGGAAAAAUGAUUAUUUCAUUCUUGCUGCUCUCUACGAGUCGUUUCGGUAGCUGCGCUGUAGGAAAAAGGCUGUCAAAGUAAAAUGGAUCAUGGGCUGAAUGAAUCGUCAUAUUAGUAGUACAAAUUCGUCCUUCAUAAGGCGAUCGUUAAAUCGAUAUGGAUCUAGCCACCAUGAAAUUGACGACGAUAGUGUCUUAGAGGCAGGAGAUAUUGGAGAAAGGGCACUAAGUAGUCGAAGGUAUUGUGUGUGGUCGGUAUAGGUUUUCUUUCGAUAACCCCGUAGAAACUGUGGGUUUACCUAUUCAAGAACCUUCGUUUAAAGAGUCACAGCUUCCGACCGCAUCUCCUACUUCACCGGAUGCAAUACUACUUGGAAUGCAAGAAGGAGUUGCCAUGGUAUUUGGCAUAUAUAUCAUCUCAUGUUCAUCUUGCUGUACUUGGCAUUCUUGGGGUAAUGUUCAAAUUACUAUUGUUAGUGGUGGAUCCAGGAACUUUUUCCUAUGGGUUCACUUUUUUUGUUGAUCAAAGUUUCACAACCAUAUGUUAGGGUUUUCGGGCUAGGUCGGGUCACUUUUUUUUGGCGGCCAACUUUUUCGGUUCAGUACUUCAAUCUCUUUAAAUUCAUAAAUCAUAUAUUGAAAAUGAAACUUGAAUACAGUGAAAUUAUUUUAAA